GAGACACCCUUAUGGGGCAGGACUUGCUUCAGUGGGGCUUUGGUGUUCACUGAGUUUGCCCCUUGAGUGUGUCACU
This is a non-coding RNA of Myotis davidii, 76 nucleotides long. The record is from Rfam. Lineage: Eukaryota; Metazoa; Chordata; Mammalia; Chiroptera; Vespertilionidae.